This 447-nucleotide ribosomal RNA is filed under the name uncultured bacterium. RNAcentral describes it as "bacterial SSU rRNA". It matches the Rfam family "Bacterial small subunit ribosomal RNA", at positions 328 to 793 of the family's 1533-position model. The record is from RNAcentral.
GACCCAGACUCCUACGGGAGGCAGCAGUGGGGGAUAUUGCACAAUGGGGGAAACCCUGAUGCAGCAACGCCGCGUGAGUGAAGAAGUAUUUCGGUAUGUAAAGCUCUAUCAGCAGGGAAGAGAAUGACGGUACCUGACUAAGAAGCCCCGGCUAACUACGUGCCAGCAGCCGCGGUAAUACGUAGGGGGCGAGCGUUAUCCGGAUUUACUGGGUGUAAAGGGUGCGUAGGCGGAAUGCCAAGUCAGCGGUAAAAUCGCGGGGCUCAACCUCGCUCCGCCGUUGAAACUGGCGUUCUUGAGUGGGCGAGAAGUAUGCGGAAUGCGUGGUGUAGCGGUGAAAUGCAUAGAUAUCACGCAGAACUCCGAUUGCGAAGGCAGCAUACCGGCGCGCAACUGACGCUCAUGCACGAAAGCGUGGGUAUCGAACAGGAUUAGAUACCCUCGUAU